GGGGCUCUGAGGGCUCAGGAGGACCCAGGGGCUCGGGCCGGGGCUCAGUGUCCCCCCGGUGUCCCCCCGGUGCCAGAGGACCAGGCUGCAGCUCACGUCCCCCCCUGCACCAGAAGCGGCUUUGGGACAGAGGAAUCCUCGAGGAAAAAAAAAUAAGAAGAAUCCAACCCUGCGUUUAAAUAAAGACGGGUGAUAAUUUCAUUAUCAGGAUAAGACUUUGGGUGGGAAAAACGCUGGAGAAUUUUCGCAUCGCUGGAGGGUGUCUGCGCUCUCACGACCGGGGAUACUGCAGUCGUUUGGAAAGGACGAAGAGGUAGGAACCUGGAGCUGCUUAGGAUCGGGAAUGACUGGAUUAUAGCUUCCAACUAAAGAAAAAAACAUCAAGAAUCAUGCAUUUUAAAAACAGUUUAUUCAACGGCCAAGGACAAUGAUCCGGCACAAUGUAACGGCAGAUAUAAAUAUAACCUUAUAUAAGUGGUUGACCCUUGUCAUUAUUAUUUUUAAUAGCUUCAUACCUAAUAUUUUAACCAUUUCCCCCCGCAGAACCGACUCUGCGAAUUAUAUUUUUUUUCUCCCCUCCCUUUUUCUUUCAUUUUUUUAAAAUUUAUUUUCUAAAUCUUUUUUUUUUAAUUCUUUUUUUCUUUUUUUUUUUCCUUC
This 657-nucleotide long non-coding RNA is filed under the name Gallus gallus (chicken). The record is from RNAcentral. Lineage: Eukaryota; Metazoa; Chordata; Aves; Galliformes; Phasianidae.